RNAcentral lists this long non-coding RNA (4064 nucleotides) under Eucalyptus grandis. RNAcentral's name for it is "long non-coding RNA (EGRA_LNC001813)". Lineage: Eukaryota; Viridiplantae; Streptophyta; Magnoliopsida; Myrtales; Myrtaceae. The record is from RNAcentral.
UUUGGAUGAAUUGAGAUUACAAUAUGUCCUUUCCUAAACGCUAUCUUAAACCCCAUCUCCCACCAUGGAAGCUAGCCUCCUUUUUCCCAAUCCUUGCCAUGAUAUUCCUGGGCAUGACGUGUCUGAUUGAAUUCUGCAUCUCCACUUCUAAAUCCCCCCCGGAUAAUAGUCUUCGAGCUUUUUCCCUCUUGAUCGUGUGUGGGUGAUUUUUGAGCAACCUUUCUGUGCUGAUGAUGGCGACUUUGGAAGGGCAGCAAUUCCCGAUCCAAGGUAGGUCUCAUCUCUGCUUCAUCUGGGUCUGAGAUUGCCUGAAGAAACAUGUGAGUUUUCUGAAUCUUUGGCUUUGAUUUACGCAAUGGAGAAUGAAAUGGAACAGAACAGGAGAAUGACUGCUCUUAGUGAACGAUUAGGGCACCUUUGGUCUGAUAGAAUAAUUGCAGUAUUAGACAAUGUGGUGACUGAAGAGAAAUUGAAGGACUGGAACGUACCUUACUUGGCCGACUGCAUUGUUGCCCAGCAGUGAACUUUCAAGCAUUUCAGUCAACAAUGAAGAAAGCUUGAAAAUCUGAAAAUAUUUUUGGGACAAGUGCUGCGGAAGUUCUAAAACUUGUCAAAAUGUUUCAUUUGAGUCUUAAAAUUGACGCCGCCUUUUCCGUUAAAAAUGUUGACGUGGUAUUUAAAAUUAAUUUUUAUUUUCCACGUGGCUUUUUAAAUAAUUUUUUAUUCAUUAAAAAAUAGAUUUAAAAAUAAAAAAAAUUAGAUUUAUUCAUUUUAUCUUAUUUUCAAGAAAAAGAAAAAUGAAAACUUAUUUAAAAUAAAUAAAUCUAAUUUUUGUUGAAAAUAAGAUAAAAUGAAUAAAUCUAACUUUUAGUUUUUAAAUCUAUUUAAAAAAAUGAAUAAAAAAAUCAUUAAAAAAAGCCAUGUGAAAAAUAAAAAUUAAUUUUAAAUGCCACGUCAGCAUUUUUAAUGGAAAAUGCUAACGGCGUCAAUUUUAGGAUUCAAAUGAAACAUUUUGACAAGUUUUAUGACUUAUUUGCACUUUUUGCAAGUUGUAGGAUUCAAGUGCAUUUUUGUGAUAAGUUUUAGGACUUCCGCAGUACUUAUCCCAAUAUUUUUUGUAAGCAUCUUGAACCAGGGCUCUUCUGCUUUGUAUUCCCAACAGGAGUAAAAAAACAGGGUACUAAAUUCUGGGCCUUGGUCUUUCUCCGGUCACCUAUUGAUCCUCAAAUCUUGGGAGCCAUGUAUUCCCCCGCAUUGUGUUGUAUUUAAUUCCUGUGCCUUCUAGAUGCAUAUUCAAGGGCUGCCUAUUGAGGGCAGAACAGAAGAAGUAAUUAAAAGCGUAGCUUAGAACAUUGGCAUAGUUUUAUCAGUGAAAAUUGAAUCGAAGGGCUACUCAUCAUUAAAUAUGGGAAAAGCAAGAGUUAUGUUAAAGCUCAAGUCCCCACUCUUGUCAGGCGUGAUUUCAAGCUCCAAAAGCAGAGAACAUUGGUUAGAUUUUCGCUAUGAAAGACUUCCUUACUUUUGUUACUUGUGUGGUAGGAUAAGACAUUAGGCCAAAAACUAUGAGGAAAUAUCAUAUGAUGAAGAUUUUUUUUUUCCACAAAUGAUCACGUGCUUUAUGGUUCAUGGCUAAAAGCCAAGAUAAAUACUAAUAGCCCCUUUUUGGAAAGCUUUUUUAUGGAGCAUUUUCUGAGGAAUACAUGGAAGAGGAGAGUGUUCCAGAAACUCCAAACAAUUUGGGACAAAUUACUGUGUUCCAACAGGAAUUUAGCAGUCCACAAAUGCCGGAAAGAAGGUCUGAGGAAGACAAGGGAAAAAGGAAAAUUGCAGCCAGCGAGAGCUUUACCUUUAAAAAAACCCAAGCAUUUGAGGAUGGUGAAAUCAUGGAAUCAGUCCUUCCUCUAGUAUUGGAGCUCCUUUCAUCUCAGUGCAGUGGUACCUUGCAGCAAAAUAAAAAUAAAAAUAAAAAGCCAAAAGUGAGAGAAACUAAGAAAAUAAGAUGAUACAGUCCCUAUUAUAAACAGAUUUUUGACAUGCAGAAUUUAGAUGAAACUCAACUUUUGGAGAACCUAGUACCUGCAACAGAGGAAACAACAAAAUAGGCUUUGAUGGCUGGCCCUAAUAAGCCAUCGGGUAACAAAUUAAGCUUCUUUCUUGGAACUAUCAAGGAUUGGGCAUAACUUUGACAAUUCAAGCUUUAAGGGCCAUUGUGGCUCAAUAACAGCCCAACUUGGUGUCCUUAAUGGAGACAAAAAAAUCAAGAGUUGGUAAUGUAAUGUGUCCAUAGAUAGUUAAAGUUCCAAUUUCAAUUUUUGAUGAACCUAGUAGGGAUUACGGGGGAUUUGGCCUUAUUGUGGAAGGAUGGUGUCUCAAUUUCUAUUAAUUCAGCCACCAACAAAUUCCUUGAUGUACUUUACGAGGAUACAGAACAGAGAACACCUUUUAGGGCAACAUUUGUUCAUGCCCCAGCAACUUUCCAGGAGUGACUACACAAAUGGGAAAAGCUUCAACAAAUACUUGCAGUUUGAUGGAUAUGGAAAGUAAGGGAUGUGCAUUUACAUGGGCAAAUAACUGUGAAUGAGACGAGUUCUGAAAAAGAGAUUAAAUAGAGCCAUGUGUAAUUUUGAAUGGAGAAUAUUGUUCUCUAAAGCUGAAGUGUUUGCUUUGCCUGCGAUAGGCUCAAACCAUAACCCAAUCUUACCCUCCCUAUUAGUUGAACCGGUAAAGAGGAAAAAAAAAAAGCCUUCAUAUUUGAGGCUUUUUGGUUGUAAAACGAGGAUUGUAGCAGGACCAUUAAGGACACUUGGAAUGAACCUGGCCUGGUUAGUGAGGAUCCGGUACAGAAAUUAAAAGCUGUGUCAUCAGCUUUAGCCAAAUGGAGUAGGAUAACUUUUCCAAACAACCAGAAGCUGAUUAAUGGCUUGAAAGAUGAGCUACAAGGAGAAAUUAAUUUCCAGAACUUAUCCACAAACAGAAAUAUACAGCAGGAACUUGCAAAACAAAUAGAGAAUCUGUGGAGAAGAGAAGAGAUGCAUUGGGGCUUGAGAUCGAGAAUUGAGAGGCUGAAGUGGGGUGAUAAAAGCACAAAAUAUUUCCAUGCUACAACCAUUCAAAGAAGGCAGCGAAAUAAAAAUUUUAUGCUGAAAAAUGCAGAUGAUACUUGGACCCAAGACCCAGCAAGACUGAAGGUAAUAACAAUGGAGUUUUUUAAAAAAUCUGUGCUGCUCACAAGGCCCUCGUAAUUUCGAUCCUAUGCUUCAACAGUGUCCUACUUUAGUUAUUGAUGAGAUGAACUAGGCCUUAUCAUCGGAGAUCACUCUACUAGAAGUCUAGAAUGUUGUUUUCCAAAUGGGUGCUUUGAAAGCUCAUGGGUCGGAUGGCUUGAGUGGCUAGUUCUACCAUCAUAACUGGGAGAACAUUAUAAUGGGUGUCUUUGAGGAAGUGAAGCGCUUCUUUAUUUCUGGUUAUCUCAACCAGAGAUAAACAGAACUCAUGUCACACUAAUCCCAAAAGUCUAGAAUCCAGAAAAACUGGAUCAAUUUAGACUGAUCAGCCUUUGUAACUUUGCUUUCAAAAUUAUCUCAAAGGUAUUAGCUAAUGGAUUAAAACCUUGGCCACCAAAUAUAAUAGCAGGUGAACAAAGUGCAUUCGUGGGAGGAAGGCAAAUCCAAAACAAUAUACUGGUGGUAUAAGAGGUACUUCAUCAAUUGAGAGUGAGGAAAAGGAAGAAAAUUUUUUAAGCUAUACUGAAACUUGGUAUGAACAAAGCAUACGAUAGAGUCGAGUUAGACUUCUUGGUGGCUUGCUUAGUAAAAAUGGGAUUCUGUUCAUUAUGGGUGGAGAGAGUUAUGAAUUGUGUCACUUCGGCAUCAGUUGUCUGAGAAUAUGCUGGAAUGUGUAUUUUGUUAUGGUUUUUUUUUUUUUUUUUGCUUUGUCAUCGAACGCACAUAGCCCUGACCUUGGCUACGAAAAAGGGGAAAAAAAAUCAGUACGACAAGAAUUUUGUGCUCACUCUUUCUCCUACAUGUAUUGAAGAUGUUCGCAUUCCUGUUGGAUCGACGCCA